Long non-coding RNA from Bubalus bubalis (water buffalo), 1106 nucleotides. RefSeq lists it as uncharacterized. The record is from RefSeq and is a predicted model, not a curated record. The transcript is spliced from 3 exons. NCBI's taxonomy places the organism in Eukaryota, Metazoa, Chordata, Mammalia, Artiodactyla, Bovidae.
GGUGGACUCCGGCGGUAAUGGAGUUGCUCCCAGCUUGGGGCUGGCCAAGAUCAGGCCCCCACCUCCCCCAGCUGCUGUACCUGUGGCAGCAAUGAGGAAGUGCCCGGAUGACUCCUCUCCCCUCCGCUCUGGGCCCCAGAUAAACACAAGUGUCUUGACACUGUGGACAAUGGCUCUGAAACAGAGGAGCUCCAGGCUUCCAAACCUGACCAGAGAGGGAGAGGGAAUUCUGUGUCAAUUAUGAAAGCAUGCUUCUGACAUGGACUCUCCUCUUGUUCCUCCUAAUGGACCAGCCUUCCUUCUCUGAGGCCCAAGACCUCCUCCAUCACCAAACUGACAGGCCGAGAACAAAGAUCUCUGCCAACCACAAAUACUACUGUGACUUGAUGAUGAAGGCUCGAGGGCUGGCCACCGAUCAGAGCUGUAAGAAGAACAAGACUUUUGUCCACAGUGUGCCACCCGGCACUCGUGGCCUUUGUGAGGGUCCAGCUGUGACGUGUAGGAAGAUGUCUGAGGUUUACAACUGCCACCUCAUCAUUUUCAAAGUCACUCAGUGUAAUCUCUACCCAGAGGCUGUGCCCCCGCACUGUUACUAUAAAGGUGUCACCUUCCAGAUGGAUGUGAGAAUAGUCUGUGCAGGCAAACGUCCAAUUCAUUUGGAUGAAUAGCCUCUGUAGUCUCUCAUCAAGGCUGUCUGCUGCUCUGCUUCACCCCAUCUCAUCCCCUCUGUGAUGUCCUGCUCAACCCCAGCUGGUGUGGAUUCCUGCAGAGUCUGGGCCCCCACUGUUCCCUGAGUCCUAGCCCCAACGCCUGCUAUUUCACUGUCAGUCCUGUGGAUUUGUGUUAGAGUGAUGGUGGAGGCAGAGGGCAGGUGGACUUGUCAUCAGCACCCUUUGGGACUUUUGGUUCUUGUCCUGUUUAAUUGCUUUGUCCUGGCUGCAGAGGGAGAGAAAGCUGAUGCUAAAUUCUUUCCUGGGGCUUGGUUCCUCAAUCCCUAGGGUGGAAGAGAAAGUCAGAGCGAGUUGUGGGCAGUUAUGCCCCAGGGAUCUGCUGAGCCCAUUUGCCCCUAAACCUGCUGCUUUAAUAAAACUCUCAAGGGCACUGAC